Molecule: ribosomal RNA, 573 nt
Filed under: fungal sp. ARIZ B456
Lineage: Eukaryota; Fungi
Description: eukaryotic LSU rRNA
Rfam family: 5.8S ribosomal RNA (bases 193-346)
Source: RNAcentral
GUCGUAACAAGGUCUCCGUUGGUGAACCAGCGGAGGGAUCAUUACCGAGUUUACAACUCCCAAACCCCUGUGAACAUACCAAUUGUUGCCUCGGCGGAUCAGCCCGCUCCCGGUAAAACGGGACGGCCCGCCAGAGGACCCCUAAACUCUGUUUCUAUAUGUAACUUCUGAGUAAAACCAUAAAUAAAUCAAAACUUUCAACAACGGAUCUCUUGGUUCUGGCAUCGAUGAAGAACGCAGCAAAAUGCGAUAAGUAAUGUGAAUUGCAGAAUUCAGUGAAUCAUCGAAUCUUUGAACGCACAUUGCGCCCGCCAGUAUUCUGGCGGGCAUGCCUGUUCGAGCGUCAUUUCAACCCUCAAGCCCUCGGGUUUGGUGUUGGGGAUCGGCGAGCCCUUGCGGCAAGCCGGCCCCGAAAUCUAGUGGCGGUCUCGCUGCAGCUUCCAUUGCGUAGUAGUAAAACCCUCGCAACUGGUACGCGGCGCGGCCAAGCCGUUAAACCCCCAACUUCUGAAUGUUGACCUCGGAUCAGGUAGGAAUACCCGCUGAACUUAAGCAUAUCAAUAAGCGGAGGAA